Molecule: ribosomal RNA, 224 nt
Filed under: Klebsiella pneumoniae
Lineage: Bacteria; Pseudomonadati; Pseudomonadota; Gammaproteobacteria; Enterobacterales; Enterobacteriaceae
Description: partial 23S ribosomal RNA
Rfam family: Bacterial large subunit ribosomal RNA
Source: RNAcentral
CGACUAAGCGUACACGGUGGAUGCCCUGGCAGUCAGAGGCGAUGAAGGACGUGCUAAUCUGCGAAAAGCGUCGGUAAGGUGAUAUGAACCGUUAUAACCGGCGAUGUCCGAAUGGGGAAACCCAGUGCAAUUCGUUGCACUAUCGUUAACUGAAUACAUAGGUUAACGAGGCGAACCGGGGGAACUGAAACAUCUAAGUACCCCGAGGAAGAGAAAUCAACGGA